CUCACUGGAGGGCUGACUGCUGAUGGGGAAGGAGUUCUGGUUGGAAUCCUCCCUUGUGGAGUCUUUCCUGUAAGCCUGGAUCCUCAGAGAUGGUGCUUCGCUUUGGGAUACUGAGCCAUCACUGAGGCCCCACACAGCUGGUGGCACCUUGUGCAGGCCCUGUGAAUGCACCCACAAGGAUGCAUCAACCCAUGUCUCCUUCUUCACUCUGCCAAGGGUAUGGAGGAAAGAAGACUUACCAAGAAGCCAACCUCAGAAGAAGACCUCAAAAAAAAUUCCAGUUUCACGAAACAUUUCUCAGAAGGCAAGAAACAAUCCCCUCCCUCCCUCACUGUGAUUAAACAAGGCUGAGCGGAUGGGCAAGAUGCAGCUUGACAGAGAAGGGACUUAUGUGCAUUGCUGUUAAGCUGGCAGAAGCCAGCAACUCCUGCCUAUGCCUGUAGUGAACCAGGACUGGGAACAUGCCCCAGCAGCAGCAAAGUAAGGCCUGAGCAAGAAGAAACAGGUAUGUGCCAGAGCCUUAAUUCCAUCUUCAGGGGGAACUUGGCACAGAAAUCCAGUGUAAACAAAGGAAAUAGCAUUCUUUUUGGACCUAUAGGGAAAGUUUAACACCAUCCACCAUCAAUUAGCAGGCGAGUGAACUUGAAUAAAAGAAUGCACAGCUCAAAAUAUUAUGGCUGUAGCUUGCCCUGAGUGAUCUGCUAGUGCCAAGAUGACUGCUGAGAGGUUGCUCAAGUUACUCUGGUAGCAGACUUUUAGGAGCACUAACACAAGGCACAGCCACAGCACAGAUGAUGCACUCCUCCCUCUUGUAUAAUUCCAUCAACGACUACCUUGCCCAUCAUCAGAUUUGAUGAAGGUACGAAGGUCUUUCAAACAGCAUUAAAAAUUAAAAGAAUGGUGCUAAUUCUUGUGGCUGCUGAUUACUGUAGGCAUCUUGUAGUUCAGCUGUUAGGCCAAGCUGCAGGGACAUCAUAACGAAAGCAUGAGAUGUGUUGUGUACAGGCAGACAAGCCUGGCUCUGCUCCAUGGUGAUUCCCCCAGCCUGGUGGGUUUGAAGCAGUGGGACACGAGUGUCGUGGGGAUGGGACAACACACCACAGUGAGUGACUUCCAUUGAUUGCCACCGCUGCUGGCUGUCUCAGCAGAGAACUGAACACACCAUGAGGAAUGAGCUCUGAAAGAGGCCUCCUUAGUUAAAGGUUAAUGCACACAGGCAGCAGGGAAAGGGUGUAAGUAUUUGUGGACAGCUGACAGCAGGCUGCAAGGCUGUUAUUGCAGCAUAUUUCACUGUCA
Long non-coding RNA from Lagopus muta (rock ptarmigan), 1296 nucleotides. RefSeq lists it as uncharacterized. The record is from RefSeq and is a predicted model, not a curated record. The transcript is spliced from 3 exons. NCBI's taxonomy places the organism in Eukaryota, Metazoa, Chordata, Aves, Galliformes, Phasianidae.